UACGUAGGUGGCAAGCGUUAUCCGGAAUUAUUGGGCGUAAAGAGCGCGCAGGUGGUUAAUUAAGUCUGAUGUGAAAGCCCACGGCUUAACUGUGGAGGGUCAUUGGAAACUGGUUGACUUGAGUGCAGAAGAGGGAAGUGGAAUUCCAUGUGUAGCGGUGAAAUGCGUAGAGAUAUGGAGGAACACCAGUGGCGAAGGCGGCUUCCUGGUCUGCAACUGACACUGAGGCGCGAAAGCGUGGGGAGCAAACAGG
This 253-nucleotide ribosomal RNA is filed under the name uncultured bacterium. RNAcentral describes it as "partial 16S ribosomal RNA". It matches the Rfam family "Bacterial small subunit ribosomal RNA", at positions 524 to 776 of the family's 1533-position model. The record is from RNAcentral.